Molecule: ribosomal RNA, 855 nt
Filed under: Ophiocordyceps sp.
Lineage: Eukaryota; Fungi; Ascomycota; Sordariomycetes; Hypocreales; Ophiocordycipitaceae
Description: partial large subunit ribosomal RNA
Rfam family: Eukaryotic large subunit ribosomal RNA
Source: RNAcentral
GCCCUAGUAACGGCGAGUGAAGCGGCAAUAGCUCAAAUUUGAAAUCUGGCUUCCUUUUAUAAGGAGUCCGAGUUGUAAUUUGCAGAGGAUGCUUUUGGCAUGGUACCUUCCGAGUUCCCUGGAACGGGACGCCAUAGAGGGUGAGAGCCCCGUCUAGUUGGAUACCUAAGCCUCUAUAAAGCUCCUUCGACGAGUCGAGUAGUUUGGGAAUGCUGCUCAAAGCGGGAGGUAUAUGUCUUCUAAAGCUAAAUAUUGGCCAGAGACCGAUAGCGCACAAGUAGAGUGAUCGAAAGAUGAAAAGCACUUUGAAAAGAGGGUUAAAUAGUACGUGAAAUUGCUGAAAGGGAAGCGCUUAUAACUAGACAUGGAGAUUUUCAAUCACCUAGUAUUUUUACUAGGGUACUUGGAUUUUUCUAGGCCAGCAUCGGUUCGCUAUAAGGGAUAAAGACSCCUGGAACGUAGCCCCUCUCGGGGGGUGUUAUAGCCUAGCGUGUAAUGUCUUGUAGUGGACCGAGGUCAGCGUUUUUAACAAUGAUGCUGGCAUAAUGGUUAUUAGUGACCCGUCUUGAAACACGGACCAAGGAGUCGUCCUCGUAUGCAAGUGUUUGGGUAUUAAACCCGYACGCAAAAWGAAAGUGAACGUAGGUGAGAGCCCUCUUUAAAAGGGGGGUGCAUCACCGACCGAUCCUGAUGUUCUACGGAUGGAUUUGAGUAAGAGCAUACGGGGCCGGACCCGAAAGAAGGUGAACUAUGCCUGUGUAGGGUGAAGCCAGAGGAAACUCUGGUGGAGGCUCGCAGCGGUUCUGACGUGCAAAUCGAUCGUCAAACAUGGGCAUGGGGGCGAAAGACUAAUCG